GGAUCAUCACGUCGGUCGUACCUUUGGUAUGUACUGGCGUCGCUGGUUUCUCCCUUCUGAUGAACCGUGAUGCCAUUAAUUUGGUGUUAUGAGGAGUCAGGACUGUUACUUUGAAAAAUUAGAGUGUUUAAAGCAGGCAAUCGCUUGAAUACAUUAGCAUGGAAUAAUGAAAUAGGACGUUCGAUUCUAUUUCGUUGGUUUCUAGGAUCAACGUAAUGAU
This 220-nucleotide ribosomal RNA is filed under the name uncultured fungus. Its description in RNAcentral is "partial 18S ribosomal RNA". The stretch from base 47 to 220 matches the Rfam family "Eukaryotic small subunit ribosomal RNA", at positions 693 to 869 of the family's 1831-position model. Lineage: Eukaryota; Fungi. The record is from RNAcentral.